This is a long non-coding RNA of Colias croceus (clouded yellow), 302 nucleotides long. RefSeq lists it as uncharacterized. NCBI's taxonomy places the organism in Eukaryota, Metazoa, Arthropoda, Insecta, Lepidoptera, Pieridae. The record is from RefSeq and is a predicted model, not a curated record. The transcript is spliced from 2 exons.
GAACAUUUUUUGCUUGGAGUUAGCAAGGAAAAUGUACAAUAUGAAGUUUUUGUUUUUGAUUGUUCUCCUAACAACUGCUGCGCUCACGCACUCCGAGAGGGUACCCUGCGCUUGCCCGCCAGAAGCACUCGUAUGCGCCAACAACCAAAAAACAUAUGACGGAGAGUGCAAUAUGAAAUGCGACGCUUUCAACCAGGGAAUAGAGUUGCAUGUCGUACAUGAGGGAGCUUGUGAUUUGUGAAUAAUCCUUAUGUGUCGUAAUAAAGCUAAUGAAUGUUGAAUUAAAAGUGUUGUUAGAGGGA